UACCUACGGGGGGCAGCAGUGGGGAAUCUUGCGCAAUGGGCGAAAGCCUGACGCAGCAACGCCGCGUGAGUGAAGAAGGCCUUCGGGUUGUAAAACUCUGUCCUGGGGGAAGAAAAAAAUGACGGUACCCCGGGAGGAAGCCCCGGCUAACUACGUGCCAGCAGCCGCGGUAAAACGUAGGGGGCAAGCGUUGUCCGGAAUUACUGGGCGUAAAGGGCGUGUAGGCGGCCAUAAAAGUCAGGGGUGAAAACCUGCGGCUCAACCGCGGGACUGCCUAUGAAACUUUAUGGCUUGAGGACAGGAGAGGGAAGUGGAAUUCCCAGUGUAGCGGUGAAAUGCGUAGAUAUUGGGAGGAACACCAGUGGCGAAGGCGGCUUCCUGGCCUGGACCUGACGCUGAGGCGCGAAAGCGUGGGGAGCAAACAGGAUUAGAUACCCGUGUAGUCC
Molecule: ribosomal RNA, 446 nt
Filed under: uncultured Peptococcaceae bacterium
Lineage: Bacteria; Bacillati; Bacillota; Clostridia; Eubacteriales; Peptococcaceae
Description: bacterial SSU rRNA
Rfam family: Bacterial small subunit ribosomal RNA
Source: RNAcentral